Dipodomys ordii (Ord's kangaroo rat) is the source of this 107-nucleotide small nuclear RNA. NCBI's taxonomy places the organism in Eukaryota, Metazoa, Chordata, Mammalia, Rodentia, Heteromyidae. The record is from Ensembl.
GUGCCCACUUCUGCAGCACAUAUACUAAAAUUGGAACGAUACAGAGAAGAUUAACAUGGCCUCUACGCAAGGAUGACAUGCAAAUUCGUGAAGUGUUCCCUAUUUUU